UACGUAGGGUGCGAGCGUUAAUCGGAUUUACUGGGCGUAAAGCGUGCGCAGGCGGCCCGUUAAGACAGGUGUGAAAUCCCUGGGCUCAACCUAGGAAUUGCGCUUGUGACUGGCGGGCUCGAGUACGGUAGAGGGGGGUGGAAUUCCUGGGGUAGCAGUGAAAUGCGUAGAGAUCAGGAGGAACACCGAUGGCGAAGGCAGCCCCCUGGGCCUGUACUGACGCUCAUGCACGAAAGCGUGGGGAGCAAACAGG
Molecule: ribosomal RNA, 253 nt
Filed under: uncultured microorganism
Description: partial 16S ribosomal RNA
Rfam family: Bacterial small subunit ribosomal RNA
Source: RNAcentral